Long non-coding RNA from Chelonia mydas (Green sea turtle), 5417 nucleotides. RefSeq lists it as uncharacterized. The record is from RefSeq and is a predicted model, not a curated record. NCBI's taxonomy places the organism in Eukaryota, Metazoa, Chordata, Testudines, Cheloniidae. The transcript has 3 exons.
UGCAGGCAGGGGGCUUAGAGCAGGGAGUUGGGGGGUGGGGGUGCAGGAGGGGUUCGGGUUCCGGUCCGGCGCCACUUACCUAAAGCGACUCUAGGGUGGUACCGGUGCGUACUGGGGCCAGGACAGACUCCCUGCCUGCCUGCCCUAGCCCCAUACCGCACUGCUCCGGGAAGCGGCCAACACCAUGUCCCUGCGUGGCCCCUGAGGGAGAGCGGGCACAGGGUUCUGCGUGCUGCCCUUGCCGUGCCUCCAGGUAUCUCCCCCGAAGCUCCCGUUGGCCGCGUUGCCUGGAGGCAAGGGCAACGCACGGAGCCCUCUGCCUCCCCUCUCCUGGGCCGCAGGGACAUGGUGCCGGCCGCUUCUGAGAGCAGCGCGGGGCCUCCAGCACCACAGGGGGCAAUCCUGCGGGCCGGAUGCGGCCCACAUGCCAUAGUUUGCCCACCCCUACUACAGGGCAAUCGUCCUGGGCCAAUCAGACAAUACAAUUACAAUUGCAUACAUAAACAACCAAGGAGGAACAAGGAGCGUAGCUCUAUGUACAGAAGUGAUGGAGAUAAUAGAAUGGGCAGAAAAGAUCCUCGCUUUCCUAAAGGUGUUACACACAGAAAUGGAGAUGAAUCAGGAAGCAGACUUGCUUAGCAGAUGCAACUCAGAAUGAUGCCUGAACCAGGAAGUUGUUUUCCAUCUGAUCUCAGAUAUGCAGUUUUCCCUCGGUUGAUCUGUUUGCAAGUUGCAAAAACACCAAAUGGCUGAAAUACUUCACUAGGGAAGCAGUGGGAAGUGCAACGGGGCACCAGUUCCCAUGGACAGGUAGCCGUAAGGCCUGCUAUGUGUAUUCCCCCCUUCCGUCGAAAGCAAAGUUGGUUGUGAUAACUCUGUAUAGGCCAAGGAGGCCAUGGUUGUACCAUCUGAUAAAGCUGAAACUGAAUUCACCAUUACAACUACCACCCAACAGCUUUCCAAAGCACUCUUCUCCACCCAAAUUGUCUUAAGUUGAGAAGCCUGGUUAUUGAAAGCCUGUCUUCUGAAGUCAUCAGGACUUUGCUUGUUUCCAGGAGAGUCUCCAGGAUAAAAGCCUGUUCCAUUGGGACCAAGUUUAGCCUUUGGUGCCAGGAGAACAAUGCUAAUCCAAGAGAUUCUGGAAUUAGAUCUACCUUUGAAUUUUUCUAAGAAGAGAUGGAUCAAGGUUCUCAGCCCCACACCAUAGCACAACAGGUAUCAGCCAUUAGAAGAGUUCUAUCUUGAAAAUCUUCGGGCUCUUUGGAACAGAAUCCCCAGGUAGCCAGAUUUCUCAGAGCAGUCAGCCUGACCAGACCAGUCUUUCCUAAAUGGGACAUACUGCAGGUGUCGAAGGCCCUAACCACUCACCCUUUUGAGCCUCUCCAGAUCAGCCUUGUGUAUAUCCAUCAAAACCUGUUUUCUGGUUGCCAUCAUAUCUGGUAAUCAUGUUUCAGAGCUAUCUGUAUAGGAAUCCUACUAUAUGUUCCAUGAGGACAAGGUGGUACUGAAAACACCAAACUUUUGUCUCCCGGGUUCUCUUUCCCGUAUCUUGGAAGAGAUUAUCCUUCCUUCUCCCUAAAGCCACAGCACCUGAUUUAGAGGCCGUGGCACACUUUAGAUGUCAGAGCACUGAAAAAUCUCUCACUCUCACAGAAUCCAUGCAGAGGUCAGGUGUUCUGUGUGUCUUCUUUCACUCAAAAUGUUAAGAGCUCAGAAUCUCAAGACUAGAUGGGUCAGAUUGUGCGUUGUUGAGGCCUUACAAAGUGUCAGGGACUCCUGUUCCAGAAGAAAUCAGGGCACAGUUCAUGAGAUCCAUGGCCAGGGGCCAAAUGAGCAUGUACCUCCACUGUAGAGAUAUGUGGAGCACCCACAUUGUCAUGGGUUAACACCUUUUAUCAAACGCUACAAAGUGGAUUUUCUGUCCUCCACAGAAGUCGUCUCCGGCAGGAACAUGCUCCAGGUGGUGGUCUUGUAAUGGCCUUGCCUUUUGGACAAUUCUCAAUGCGGUGGGGAGUCUGUCUCUCUUUUUCAGUUUGCCUUUUCUUGUUCCUUAUUAUUCCUGUUCAUUGGUGACACUGGACUGCAGAAUGGAAAAUUUCGUACUUGAUAAUUUCCUUUCCGCUAACAGCAUCUCCCACAAUUUUACUCACCCAAGAUGGCUUUCUGUCAAGAGUCAAUAUUUUAUUUGGUGUAUUUACCCUGCAGGGAGUUGACCUGGCAUAUGUGGUUAAUGAUUUGGACAUUAAUGUUAGUUAUACUUUUUCUCUUGAGUUUUUCACCCAGCUUUGGAAUGACUUACUUGUUGGCAAGUGGGAGAAGAGGGCAUGGUAUGCUCAAGCCGCACUGCAGCUUUGAACCACCUCCAGAAGCUGCAGAUAGGAAGAGCACAGCCCAUGCAUAGCAGAAUUGUGGGAGAUGCUUCUAGCAGAAAAGAAAUUACCAGGUGUUGAACCUAACCAGGCUCCUGUCCACACAAACAACCCUCUCACCAGAGUUUGGUGCUUUCAACUCAGGCUACCUGUCCAUUCUGGGGGACAGGCUUAAGCCUGAAUGCUGCUUUCACUCAGGCUGAUUACCUGCCAGCUUUUCAGUAUGGAUGCAGGCUGAACCACUUGGGAUAGUCUUCCAGUGCCUUCCCACAGUUCUUCUCCAGGUGUCCAGAAAAACACACAAGUUCUCCCACAAUUCACUGGGAAAGAAUCAUAGAGUCUCCCAUCUUAAUGCAGUGCAAAGAACCACGGGAUCUGAUCCCAGAAGUGCUAGUGCCUUGUAUGGGUUACAUCAAGACUCAACAGGGUCAGAAAUGCACUCGGUCAAUGCAGAAAAUCCAAUUGAGUAAAAGGCUCUGAAAAUCAAAGUUCAUGUCUUCCACAGAAAUGCUCAUCUCUAAUAGAAUAGGAUACUGUUUUGAUGAAUGUGAUCUCUUAUGAAAUCUCUGCAGAUUUCCUGUAGGGGGCCAAUGACUAACAAUACUUUACGCCCUCCUGCCAGCAUGCUGUUCAGUGGGAAUUGGCUGGUCCUCUGGAUAUGCUGCUGCUCUAAGUGAAGAACUAAUGUAAUUUGUGAGAGAAGAUGCUCAUGGUGACAGAAAAGUGUUACAUCAACCAUUAAAAUAGGCUGCAGAUGGCAGGCACUAAGCAGGAGAAGGUACAAACAAAAGCAAGGGAGUAGUCAAAAAGUUUCUCGCCUUAGUUGAUUGUCAUGUUAUGCUACAAAAGCAUGGGAAUAAGAUGGUCAGCAUAAAAAAAAAAUGCAAGAAGUGAAAUUGAAAAUACAAACGUAUAUGUUUGUAACCAGAUUAACUUCAUUCCAGGUUUUGUUUUCCAAAAUUGUGAGUUAGAGAAUGCAGAGGAGAUUAGUAGGAAAGACUUUGAGCCAGUAUUAGUUUACACUAGGUAGCGACACAGAAUGGUUGUGCUUAGUGUGUGUUUAAUGACAUAUUUUAUGCAGUGCUUUGAAAAAGAGCAGAAUGGGUGGAAGCUUAGCUAGAAUUUGCAUAUGGGCUGUUAAAUUUAAAAGAUACUGGUAUGACAUGCACCUCUUUAUGGGGGUAGUGGGGGAAUGAAGAGCUCCUCCCAUUUCUUACAGAAGGUCUGACAAUUGCUGUUCAUGCUUUUGUGAAAACCUUGUAUUAGGAACUGGUUCUUCAUAUGCCAGCUCUGGGCUACAUGGGAGGUGUUUUGCCAUACCAGAGCUGUUCUAAGGCAGUUUCAUUGCUAGGGGCCCAGUACACAUCACCAUAUUGAUCCAACAUCCCUGGGGGAGUGGGGGACUCCUUGUGGUGACCACCACAAGCAGGGGAAGGGUCAUGUUGGGGCAUUGAGGUGGGGUAUGCCUAGAGCCUGGAUUACCUUCAUCUGGCCUGAUCCUGAGAGGCAUCUGGACAAAUAGGAAGAAACAGAAGGAUAGUUGGAGAUGAAGGAAGCAUCUAAGAGCAUUAAACAUACAAACAAAAUGCUGAAGAUGCUAAUUUAGACUAGCUUAAGGACUACAUUUUCUCACGUGGCUGGACAAUGUCUAUCACGUUUGGGCUCCUCACUGACUCCUGCAGGCUCUGGCUUGAAGAUCCAGUUUAACAUUUAAGAUUUGAAGGGUGUAGGUGUUGAAGUAAUAGCCACCUGCUGGUUACUUUUUGCACAGACUUUUUUCAGAAGACUGGUACCAGAUGAAAAACGUUUCCCUUACAUCUUAAACUGGCUUAAAAUCAUGUGCAUGCUUCAUAAACUGAACGUCAUUUCAUAACUAUGAUGUUUGAGCUGUAAAAGUUGUCAGUGGCUCUUUUCCGUAGUAAUGUGUCAAGCAGACAUGAUUCCCCAAGGACAGGCUCCACAGCGGUCCAGGGUUUUGCAUAACAAAACUUUAUGAAGGGUUGUGAAUCAAAACCAUGUUCCUCUGUCAAGGAAAUGGACUUUGAUUUACUCGAUGGGCUAAAAAUUACUAAAACUAGUUCUUAGUAUUCCGUCCCAAAAGAUCUAAUAUUACUAGUAUUACUAUAAUACUAUAUUACUAUAAUAUUACUAUAACUAGUUCUUAGUAUUCCGUCCCAAAAGAUCUAAUAAUCUAAGAUCUAAUAUCCAUGCUUUGAAGCUGAGUUUGUGUGAAAGAGAAUGUUUUCUAUUUAAAUGCAGAAAUUAGAGAUGAGGGAAAACCUAUGUUUGCUAGGCCAUCUCUUUGUUGAUGGUGAUGAUGCAGGAUUCAGUUUCUUUAGAACAAUUUUUGAUCAUGUUUUAAUGUAAAAUCCCACUUAUAAGUAGUUAAAAAGCAGUGGUCUCCAAACUGUGGAGGAAUGUUCGGGCCAGCACAUGGAAGAGGGAGCAUCAUGCUCCACCCCCAGUCCUGCUCCAUCUCUGGUCCAGCUCCACCUUCAGCCCAAGCUCCGUUGCUGAGGAAGCUUUAGCUGUGCAGUAAUGGAGGGGAUCGCAGACAAGAUUCUGGUAAGGGGGGGCUUGACUGGAAAAGUUUGUGCACCACUGUUAUAAAGCGUUAACAUAUGAUGAAUAGAUGUUUUGGUAAGUGUUGGUUCACCUAUCUGAGUUUAGUGGGUUGCUUAUAACCAUCUGUGACCUGCAAUUUUGCACGUAUAACCAUCUAUAAGAUACUACUCAUUUCUAUAAUAUGCUUAUAACUUCUAUUAACCAUUUAAAAACAGAACCUUAAGUUGAAGUGUGAUGCAGUGUUCUACUCUUUUGUCCAAUAUAGUAGUAAAUGACCUACCUAAUAGGGUGACCAGAUUGCAAGAGUGAAAUAUCAGGACACAUUGGGCGAGCGGGUGGGGGGCGCGGGGAGGAGAAGAGACAGACACAGGUGCACAGCCCUGACCAGAGCCAUGAGAGGGGGCAGAUGGAGGGGAGGGGUGUCUAUGCCGCGUCACACAGCUUGCCGGCCCAGCACCCCAGAGGGAUCCACUAUGCCCAGAG